RNAcentral lists this long non-coding RNA (231 nucleotides) under Medicago truncatula (barrel medic). RNAcentral's name for it is "long non-coding RNA (MTRU_LNC003687)". The record is from RNAcentral. Lineage: Eukaryota; Viridiplantae; Streptophyta; Magnoliopsida; Fabales; Fabaceae.
UACAAAAAGGCCGAAAAAUGAGAUCACUCGCCUCCAACUCGCCAUGGCAAGCAGAAAAGGCGAGCAAUUCCAGAAAGCAACAAAGAUUACACGCCACCAACUCACAAUGGCGAGUGGAAGGCGAGCAAACUCGCCAUGGCGAGUGGAAUGACUCGCGAGGCGAGCUAGGGCGGUUUAGCCUCUCACAGCUGACGUGGCACAAACCCAAUGGCGAAGGAACCUCAACUCGCC